CCUACGGGCGGCUGCAGUGGGGAAUAUUGCGCAAUGGGGGAAACCCUGACGCAGCAACGCCGCGUGGGUGAUGAAGGUUUUCGGAUUGUAAAGCCCUGUCUUUGGGGACGAUAAUGACGGUACCCAAGGAGGAAGCCACGGCUAACUACGUGCCAGCAGCCGCGGUAAUACGUAGGUGGCAAGCGUUGUCCGGAAUUACUGGGCGUAAAGAGUAUGUAGGCGGAUAUUUAAGUCAGAUGUGAAAUCCCCGGGCUUAACCUGGGAGCUGCAUUUGAUACUGAAUAUCUAGAGUGCAGGAGAGGAAAGUGGAAUUCCUAGUGUAGCGGUGAAAUGCGUAGAGAUUAGGAAGAACACCAGUGGCGAAGGCGACUUUCUGGACUGUAACUGACGCUGAGAUACGAAAGCGUGGGGAGCGAACAGGCUUAGAUACCCCUGUAGUC
Molecule: ribosomal RNA, 440 nt
Filed under: uncultured Clostridium sp.
Lineage: Bacteria; Bacillati; Bacillota; Clostridia; Eubacteriales; Clostridiaceae
Description: bacterial SSU rRNA
Rfam family: Bacterial small subunit ribosomal RNA
Source: RNAcentral